AUGUGGACUAUACUCAUUAUAUGGGAAAUGGGGUUGAAUUCUAUUCUUGGCAAUGGAAAAUCCUUGGGGCACGCAAAUGGCAAUGCUCUGCUUUUGUUUUUUUCCCUUGCAUGGGGAGCCCUUGUCCUGAGCACCCCAGGAACCCCUGCCCCCCCCCCCCCCCCGUUCUGUGGGCCUUUCUUCUUCUUGCCCUUUUUACCUUUGGCCCCCGGCUCUGCUCUUUUGCCCUUUGUUUCCCUGAUGCAGCUGCAAUGGGAGAAAACACAGCACAUUUAUUUGGCAGUUAGGGAAAUGAGCAACCCGAUCCAGCCCAUGCAGCUUCGUACAUGUGGAGUCUCAACACAGUCUUCUGAACAGUGUGGGGAGAUGAAAACGCCCUGGCAAGGAGUUAAGGGCAGAGGUUCAUGCUGAAACAGUUCAAGUAUUUCAGUGACUCAACACACGAAGAGUUUAUGUGAUCUUCAUGCAGAGUCCACUGUGGAUGCUCCAGGUUGGGCAACUCUCCGUGACAGCCUUCCUUUGACCAGUGACUCAAGGACUCAGGCUACUCUUAUGUUAUGGAUUCUCCAACUUGGGGCAUUAUCUGCCUGGUAGGUUGAGGUGCAGGACCUGUGAAAGUGAAGCUGCAUAAACCAACUUAGCCUAGAAAUGAUGAUCACGGCCACCCUCGCUGCAAGUGAGGAUGGGAAAGGGAUAUCGGUGAAGAGUAGUAGUUUCUGCCAUGUUUCUUAAGUUGGGUACUUCGCUCAUUAAUAUAUAAUUCCUAAAAUACUAGUACUUAAGACUGUAAGUUUCCCUUGAAACAUCACUUUUGCUGUAUUUCACAAGGUUUGGCAUGUAGUAUUCUCAUUAUCAUUUAGUUCAUUAAAUGAUAUUUAAUUAUCAUUAAAAAACUGAUUUUUAAUUCCAUUAUGACUUGUUUUUCGGUCCAUGCAUCACUUUGAAGUCUAUAUAUUUUUAUGACAUUGGGAUGGGGAAGGAUCUCUUACAUAAGACAACAAAAGGACCAACAAUAAGAGAAAAGGUUGAUAGAUUCAACUACAUUAAAGUUAAGAACUUCUGUUUAUCAAAAAACACUGUAAAUGAAAUAAAAAGAAGGCUACCGAUUGAGAGAGGAUACA
RNAcentral lists this long non-coding RNA (1121 nucleotides) under Felis catus (domestic cat). RNAcentral describes it as "lncRNA (ENSFCAG00000053511.1)". The record is from RNAcentral. Lineage: Eukaryota; Metazoa; Chordata; Mammalia; Carnivora; Felidae.